This 253-nucleotide ribosomal RNA is filed under the name uncultured bacterium. RNAcentral describes it as "partial 16S ribosomal RNA". It matches the Rfam family "Bacterial small subunit ribosomal RNA", at positions 524 to 776 of the family's 1533-position model. The record is from RNAcentral.
UACGUAGGGUGCGAGCGUUGUCCGGAAUUACUGGGCGUAAAGGGCUCGUAGGCGGUUUGUCACGUCAGGAGUGAAAACUCGGGGCUCAACCCCGAGCCUGCUUCUGAUACGGGCAGACUAGAGGUAUGCAGGGGAGAACGGAAUUCCUGGUGUAGCGGUGAAAUGCGCAGAUAUCAGGAGGAACACCGGUGGCGAAGGCGGCUCUCUGGGCCUUACCUGACGCUGAGGAGCGAAAGCGUGGGUAGCGAACAGG